Molecule: ribosomal RNA, 401 nt
Filed under: Pedinellales sp.
Lineage: Eukaryota; Dictyochophyceae; Pedinellales
Description: partial small subunit ribosomal RNA
Rfam family: Eukaryotic small subunit ribosomal RNA
Source: RNAcentral
AUUCCAGCUCCAAUAGCGUAUAUUAAUGUUAUUGCAGUUAAAGAGCUCGUAGUUGGAUUUCUGGUCGGGACGUCUGGCCGGCUCCGCAAGGGGUCGUUGCAUUGACUGUACUCGUCCAUCCUCAGGUUGACUAGCUCUGGUAUUUAUUUAUCGGUGUUAGAACGCCUGUCGUUUACUGUGAACAAAUUAGAGUGUUCAAAGCAAGGUGUACUUGAAUACAUUAGCAUGGAAUAAUAAGAUAGGACUUUGGUGGUUCUUUUUGAUAUUUUGUUGGUUUGCACGCCAAAGUAAUGAUUAAUAGGAGCAGUUGGGGGUAUUCGUAUUCAAUUGUCAGAGGUGAAAUUCUUGGAUUUAUAGAAGACGAACUACUGCGAAAGCAUUUACCAAGGAUGUUUUCAUUA